GACGAACGCUGGCGGCGUGCUUAACACAUGCAAGUCGAGCGGAGAUAUAUGGAAGGUUUACCUGAAAUAUAUCUUAGCGGCGGACGGGUGAGUAACGCGUGGGUAACCUGCCUUGUACAGGGGGAUAACACAGGGAAACUUGUGCUAAUACCGCAUAACACAGUUGGUUGGCAUCAAUUGACUGUCAAAGGAGGAAUCCGGUAUAAGAUGGACCCGCGUCCGAUUAGCUAGUUGGCGGUGUAACGGACCACCAAGGCGACGAUCGGUAGCCGAACUGAGAGGUUGAUCGGCCACAUUGGGACUGAGACACGGCCCAGACUCCUACGGGAGGCAGCAGUGGGGAAUAUUGCGCAAUGGGGGAAACCCUGACGCAGCAACGCCGCGUGAAGGAAGAAGGUUUUCGGAUCGUAAACUUCUUUGAUGAGGGAAGAAUAAUGACGGUACCUCAAAACAAGCCACGGCUAACUACGUG
This 472-nucleotide ribosomal RNA is filed under the name uncultured bacterium. RNAcentral's name for it is "bacterial SSU rRNA". It matches the Rfam family "Bacterial small subunit ribosomal RNA", at positions 28 to 507 of the family's 1533-position model. The record is from RNAcentral.